UAACGCCGAAGGAAUAUUCCGUUAAGAAAAUGACGGCCAAGACACUUUCCCGCCAAGAAAAUAACGCCACAAAACCUAACGACUGUGACGGAGAUUCCAAACGUCCCUUGUCUCACCCGGAUUUUGACAGUCGAAGACGACGCCGGCGACGGGGAAUCUGUUCCCAGAUCCGGUACAGAAGCUUCCCAACUUCCGAUCUCCACCAGCCACCGAACCCUCAGAGACAUCUCUUUUUCCUCCUUACAAACCCUUCAUGGCGGUCCAAGUCCAGCUUUGUUAACUCACCACAUCUUCAAGUCCUGAUUAGGGUUUUCUUCCCCUUCUACGCGCCGAAUCUGCAACAGCGAUAAUUUACCUAAUUCCGGGAAAUCGAAGAUGAUGGAGCCGGGGGUUUCGAUCUGCAGCACCUGCGGCGAUCAAAUCGGUCUCGGAGCCAACUGGAGACUUGUUCAUCGGGUCCAACAAGCGUAAUUUACCGAUCUGCGAGGCUUGUCUCGAGUACGAGACCAAAGAAGGUCGGAAAAUCUGCCUGCGCUGUGGUAAUCCCUACGACGAGAACUUGUUGGAUGAUGCUGAAACAAGGAAGGACCUCGAGUCACCCCGGAAAACGCUCCUCUGAAAAUGCUAUAAAUGGUUCUAUAUCGCCAUGUGAGGGUCGCAAGUUUGAUCUUAAAUCUUCUCCGGCCACAGGGAUGCUGAAAUUCUUACUUGACAUAUAAGCACAGUCUCCGCAGUUGGCAGUGGUAAGAACCCCAAUUCUCUCUUGUUCAUUUUCUCGGAUAAUUUAGGGACUGCAACCAUUUUAUCAUGGAGAUCAGAAGAUAGAUGCCCGAAUAUUGAUGGCAGCAAAAGAGGUUUUGCUGAAGAGGUUUAGACUAUACAGACUAGGGGAUGCAUAUGCGUGAAGAAUUGAAUGGUGGAUAUGGAAGAACAGGGUAGAGAGCCCGAAGGACAAGAAAAGCUAUAAGAAGAAGAAGAAGAAGGACAAAAAGCAAAAUGAUGGUGAGAAUGAGGCUCAGAUUCUGAUGUUUGAUCAGAAUCACGGCUUAGUUUCCAAGGCCUAGAAAACACUUGAAGAAGGAUGGAACCCCGAGGCUAGGAAACAAUGCCCGGGAUGAUUCAGGUUAACACGAAGGGGCUUGAUGGGAUUCAAGAGCCUGUCCAAUACACAAGAACUUUAUGGUUAAACAGUCCUCCAUCUAAACCUAGAAGUUAACCGGAUUCUUCCUCUUCUUGAUCAUAUGCUGAUGCCCGAUAAAAGAAGAAGCAGACCAGAGAUCCUUUUGAGGUUUAUAGAGAUGCAAAGCGAGAAGAACUCGAUGUUGUCAUCUUAAACCUCAGAGAUCUUGACAGUGAGUUGAUUUUUCUAAAUAUUUGGAGCAUUGCUAUGGUUUGAUCUUGAAGCAAAAGGUUUCCCUACGUGAGCCUCUUCUUUCUCCUAUUAUUGCUUCUUGCUUCUUGGGGACUCUCACAUGGCUGCUUUUUCCACAAGUUAAUGUUUUCGUGUUUAUAUAAUAUGAUUGAAUUCUUUCAUUGAAGAAACGGAAUGAUAUCAUUUGUUACCUCGGGGUUUCA
Long non-coding RNA from Tarenaya hassleriana, 1575 nucleotides. RefSeq lists it as uncharacterized. Lineage: Eukaryota; Viridiplantae; Streptophyta; Magnoliopsida; Brassicales; Cleomaceae. The transcript is spliced from 3 exons. The record is from RefSeq and is a predicted model, not a curated record.